This is a non-coding RNA of Podarcis lilfordi (Lilford's wall lizard), 72 nucleotides long. Lineage: Eukaryota; Metazoa; Chordata; Lepidosauria; Squamata; Lacertidae. The record is from the annotation of a GenBank genome assembly.
AGGGCCAUAGCUCAGUGGUAGAGCAUUUGCUUAGCAUGGGGAAGGUCCUGGGUUCAAUCCCCAAUGUUUCCA